This 508-nucleotide ribosomal RNA is filed under the name Pseudotaeniolina globosa. Its description in RNAcentral is "eukaryotic LSU rRNA". The stretch from base 141 to 294 matches the Rfam family "5.8S ribosomal RNA". The record is from RNAcentral. Lineage: Eukaryota; Fungi; Ascomycota; Dothideomycetes; Capnodiales.
UCGAGAGGCUCGGGCCGACCUCCACCCUUUGUAUUCCGACUCUGUUGCCUCGGGGGCGACCCGGCCUUCGGGCGCGGGGCCCCCGGCGGUCCACUCAACUCUGCAUCCUUUGCGUCUGAGUAAAUAUUUGAAUCAAUCAAAACUUUCAACAACGGAUCUCUUGGUUCUGGCAUCGAUGAAGAACGCAGCGAAAUGCGAUAAGUAAUGUGAAUUGCAGAAUUCAGUGAAUCAUCGAAUCUUUGAACGCACAUUGCGCCCUUUGGCAUUCCGAAGGGCAUGCCUGUUCGAGCGUCAUUACACCACUCAAGCCUCGCUUGGUAUUGGGCGCCGCGGUCCGCCGCGCGCCUCAAUGUCUCCGGCUGAGCCGUCCGUCUCUAAGCGUUGUGAAUCAAUCAAUCCGCUUGCGAGGCCGGGCUGGCUGCGCGCCGUUAAACCCCCCAUUCUUCUAGGUUGACCUCGGAUCAGGUAGGGAUACCCGCUGAACUUAAGCAUAUCAAUAAGCGGAGGA